UGGGGAAUUUUGGACAAUGGGCGAAAGCCUGAUCCAGCAAUGCCGCGUGUGUGAAGAAGGCCUUCGGGUUGUAAAGCACUUUUGUCCGGAAAGAAAUCCUUGGCUCUAAUACAGUCGGGGGAUGACGGUACCGGAAGAAUAAGCACCGGCUAACUACGUGCCAGCAGCCGCGGUAAUACGUAGGGUGCAAGCGUUAAUCGGAAUUACUGGGCGUAAAGCGUGCGCAGGCGGUUUGCUAAGACCGAUGUGAAAAUCCCCGGGCUAAACCUGGGGAAACUGCAUUGGUGACUGGCAGGCUAGAGUAUGGCAGAGGGGGGUAGAAUUCCACGUGUAGCAGUGAAAAUGCGUAGAGAUGUGGAGGAAUACGAUGGCGAAGGCAGCCCCCUGGGCCAAUACUGACGCUCAUGCACGAAAAGCGUGGGGAGCAAAACAGGAUUAGAUACCCUGGUAGUCCACGCCCU
Molecule: ribosomal RNA, 461 nt
Filed under: uncultured bacterium
Lineage: Bacteria
Description: partial 16S ribosomal RNA
Rfam family: Bacterial small subunit ribosomal RNA
Source: RNAcentral